ACUCCAACGUGUUUAUGGUUC
RNAcentral lists this unclassified non-coding RNA (21 nucleotides) under Dictyostelium discoideum. Lineage: Eukaryota; Evosea; Eumycetozoa; Dictyosteliales; Dictyosteliaceae. The record is from RNAcentral.